UACGAAGGGUGCAAACGUUGCUCGGAAUUAUUGGGCGUAAAGCGCACGUAGGCGGCUUUGCAAGUCCCAUGUGAAAGCCCACGGCUUAACCGUGGAAGUGCAUGGGAAACUGCAGAGCUUGAGUACUUAAGAGGAUCGCGGAAUUCCCGGUGUAGAGGUGAAAUUCGUAGAUAUUCGCAAGAACACCAGUGGCGAAGGCGGCUCACUGGCCCGGUACUGACGCUGAGGUGCGAAAGCGUGGGGAGCAAACAGG
Molecule: ribosomal RNA, 253 nt
Filed under: uncultured bacterium
Lineage: Bacteria
Description: partial 16S ribosomal RNA
Rfam family: Bacterial small subunit ribosomal RNA
Source: RNAcentral